This 293-nucleotide ribosomal RNA is filed under the name uncultured bacterium. Its description in RNAcentral is "partial 16S ribosomal RNA". It matches the Rfam family "Bacterial small subunit ribosomal RNA", at positions 775 to 1067 of the family's 1533-position model. The record is from RNAcentral.
GGAUUAGAUACCCUGGUAGUCCACGCCCUAAACGAUGGGCACUAAGUGUCGGCGGGUUACCGCCGGUGCCGCAGCUAACGCAGUAAGUGCCCCGCCUGGGGAGUACGGCCGCAAGGUUGAAACUCAAAGGAAUUGACGGGGGCCCGCACAAGCGGUGGAGCAUGUGGUUUAAUUCGACGCAACGCGAAGAACCUUACCCAGGUUGGACAUGCAAGUAGUAAGAACCUGAAAGGGGGAUGAGCCCGCAAGGGCAGCUUGCUCAGGUGCUGCAUGGCUGUCGUCAGCUCGUGCCG